This 253-nucleotide ribosomal RNA is filed under the name uncultured bacterium. Its description in RNAcentral is "partial 16S ribosomal RNA". It matches the Rfam family "Bacterial small subunit ribosomal RNA", at positions 524 to 776 of the family's 1533-position model. The record is from RNAcentral.
UACGAAGGGGGCUAGCGUUGCUCGGAAUCACUGGGCGUAAGGGGUGCGUAGGCGGGUAUUUAAGUCAGAGGUGAAAUCCUGGAGCUCAACUCCAGAACUGCCUUUGAUACUGAGUAUCUUGAGUACGGGAGAGGUGAGUGGAACUGCGAGUGUAGAGGUGAAAUUCGUAGAUAUUCGCAAGAACACCAGUGGCGAAGGCGACUCACUGGCCCGUUACUGACGCUGAGGCACGAAAGCGUGGGGAGCAAACAGG